RNAcentral lists this transfer-messenger RNA (291 nucleotides) under bovine gut metagenome. It matches the Rfam family "transfer-messenger RNA". From Rfam's summary of the family: Bacterial tmRNA, also known as 10Sa RNA or SsrA, is named for its dual tRNA and mRNA-like properties. The record is from RNAcentral.
GGGGGUGUAAUAGAUUCGACGGGUAUCUGUUGCCACUCGGGAGCAAGUGCCGGUUGGCCAGGCCGGCUAAAAUAGGGCCAAAAAAAUAAGCAACAACAAUCAAGUUGCCUGGGCUAACGCUUAGUCCACGGCGCCUCGGGCGCGGUUCGUCUUGCUUGAUAUAAGACCCACGAACCACACCGUCGCCGUGCCGUUUCGCGCUUAGACGGCGGUUAAACCAGCGAAACUAAACUUGUAGCGCCUGGGAGGAGAAGAUGUUCGGACGGGGGUGCGAAUCCCCCCACCUCCACU